AUGUACUUGCGCAAGGGGUUCACUUUGGUCCAACAAUGCGGGAGCGCGUCUGAGUUCCUUCGCUCCCUCGGCCUCGGCCUCGACGACCUCGCCGCCUACCCGCUCGCCCUCGGCUGCAGCGUCCGCAAGAACAUGGUCCCCGUCCUCGACUACCUCGGCAAGAUCGGCGUCCGCCGCGACGAGCUCCCGCACCUGCUCCACCGUCACCCGCAGGUGCUCCACGCCAGCAUCAUUGUCGACCUUGCGCCCGUCGUUAAGUACCUCCAGGGGAUGAACGUCAAGCCCGGCGACGUGCCGCGCGUGCUCGAGCGCUACCUCGGCUGCAUGCUCGAGGGCACCAUGAGCACCUCCGUCGCCUACCUCAUUGUAGGUGGAUGUUGGUAUGUUCUUGCGAUUCAGCGUGUUGCCUCCUGCCUACAAUCGGAAUGCGAGAUAAACAACAACUGCAAUUUGAUGUUACUGGCUUGCUCCAAGGAGAUGUGCUUUCACUUCCCUUGGUCAUCAGACAUGACUGCAUUAGCAUGCGAUACGAACUUAACUUCUUUCAGUCAACAAAAUGUGCCGGCCUGUCUAAGUGGCAAUGGCGCCUUUGCUUAUGGGAUCUACAAGGGAGCCCUUCCUGUUAUCUCCAGCAAUUCACUUGCUGUCAAAAUCCUCUAUCCCAUAUUCUGGGGUCUCAUGACCCUCAGUUCGUCUGAAUCUAUUGGCAGUAUUUUUGGCAAUGAUCUUGAGCCGACGAGCAAUUGGCUUGAGGUGAUAUUCAGCAUCAUCAAUGUACUCAGUGGGCUGAUGCUCUUCACGCUACUGAUCGGAAACAUACAGGUAUUCUUGCACGCCGUGCUGGCGAGGAAGCGGAAGAUGCAGCUGCGGUUCCCGGACAUGGAGUGGUGGAUGAGGCGGCGGCAGCUGCCGUCCCGGCUGCGGCAGCGGGUCCGCAAGUACGAGCGCGAGCGGUGGGCGGCCAUCACCGGCGACGAGGAGAUGGAGAUGAUCAAGGACCUGCCGGAGGGCCUCCGGCGGGACAUCAAGCGGUACCUCUGCCUGGAGCUGGUGAAGCAGGUGCCCCUGUUCCACGGCAUGGACGAGUUGAUCCUGGACAACAUCUGCGACCGGCUGCGCCCCCUGGUGUUCUGCGGCGGCGAGAAGGUGAUCCGGGAGGGCGACCCGGUGCAGCGCAUGGAGCAUCCUGAGCGACGAGCUGCUGUCGUGGUGCCUGCGGCGGCCGUUCAUGGACCGGCUGCCGGCGUCGUCCGCCACGUUCGAGUGCUGGAGGCCGCGCAUGCCUUCUGCCUCGACGCGCCGGACCUGCGGUACAUCACCGAGCACUUCCGGUACAAGUUCGCCAACGACAAGCUCAAGCGCACCGCGCGCUACUACUCGUCCAACUGGCGGACGUGGGCGGCCGUCAACGUGCAGCUCGCGUGGCGGCGGUACAGGGCGAGGGUGAUGGCGACGGCGGUGCUCCCGCCGCCGCCGGCCGGCGCGGCAGGGCCCGAGGACGGGGACCGCCGGCUGCGCCAUUACGCGGCCAUGUUCAUGUCGCUCAGGCCGCACGACCACCUCGAGUAG
Molecule: ribosomal RNA, 1569 nt
Filed under: Triticum aestivum (bread wheat)
Lineage: Eukaryota; Viridiplantae; Streptophyta; Magnoliopsida; Poales; Poaceae
Description: partial small subunit ribosomal RNA
Source: RNAcentral